GAGCCAUUAGCUCAGUUGGUAGAGCACCUGACUUUUAAUCAGGGUGUCGAUGGUUCGAGUCCAUCAUGGCUCACCA
RNAcentral lists this transfer RNA (76 nucleotides) under Bacillota bacterium. Its description in RNAcentral is "tRNA-Lys". It matches the Rfam family "tRNA". Rfam says of the family: Transfer RNA (tRNA) molecules are approximately 80 nucleotides in length. Their secondary structure includes four short double-helical elements and three loops (D, anti-codon, and T loops). Lineage: Bacteria; Bacillati; Bacillota. RNAcentral also lists the same sequence under 1 other name. The record is from RNAcentral.